Molecule: ribosomal RNA, 425 nt
Filed under: uncultured bacterium
Lineage: Bacteria
Description: bacterial SSU rRNA
Rfam family: Bacterial small subunit ribosomal RNA
Source: RNAcentral
GUAGGGAAUAUUGGGCAAUGGGCGAGAGCCUGACCCAGCCAUGCCGCGUGCCGGAUGAAGGCCUUCUGGGUUGUAAACGGCUUUUCUCAGGGAAGAAAAAGGGGAUGCGUCCUCAACUGACGGUACCUGAGGAAUAAGCACCGGCUAACUCCGUGCCAGCAGCCGCGGUAAUACGGAGGGCGCAAGCGUUGUCCGGAUUUAUUGGGUUUAAAGGGUGCGUAGGUGGCCUGUUAAGUCCGGGGUGAAAGCCCACAGCUCAACUGUGGAACUGCCCUGGAUACUGGCGGGCUUGAGUCCAGACGAGGUUGGCGGAAUGGAAGCUGUAGCGGUGAAAUGCAUAGAUAGCUUCCAGAACCCCGAUUGCGUAGGCAGCUGACUAGGCUGGUACUGACACUGAGGCACGAAAGCGUGGGGAGCGAACAGGA